RNAcentral lists this transfer RNA (67 nucleotides) under Marmota monax (woodchuck). RNAcentral describes it as "tRNA.Ala". It matches the Rfam family "tRNA", at positions 6 to 65 of the family's 71-position model. From Rfam's summary of the family: Transfer RNA (tRNA) molecules are approximately 80 nucleotides in length. Their secondary structure includes four short double-helical elements and three loops (D, anti-codon, and T loops). Further hydrogen bonds mediate the characteristic L-shaped molecular structure. tRNAs have two regions of fundamental functional importance: the anti-codon, which is responsible for specific mRNA codon recognition, and the 3' end, to which the tRNAs corresponding amino acid is attached (by aminoacyl-tRNA synthetases). tRNAs cope with the degeneracy of the genetic code in two manners: having more than one tRNA (with a specific anti-codon) for a particular amino acid; and 'wobble' base-pairing, i.e. permitting non-standard base-pairing at the 3rd anti-codon position. The record is from RNAcentral. Lineage: Eukaryota; Metazoa; Chordata; Mammalia; Rodentia; Sciuridae.
GGUUGUGGCUCAGUGGUAGAGCACUUGCCUAGCAUGUGUAAGGCACUGGGUUCGAUUCUCAGCAUCG